Molecule: ribosomal RNA, 497 nt
Filed under: uncultured bacterium
Lineage: Bacteria
Description: partial 16S ribosomal RNA
Rfam family: Bacterial small subunit ribosomal RNA
Source: RNAcentral
GAUGAACGCUGGCGGCGUGCCUAAUACAUGCAAGUCGAGCGAACGGACGAGAAGCUUGCUUCUCUGAUGUUAGCGGCGGACGGGUGAGUAACACGUGGAUAACCUACCUAUAAGACUGGGAUAACUUCGGGAAACCGGAGCUAAUACCGGAUAAUAUUUUGAACCGCAUGGUUCAAAAGUGAAAGACGGUCUUGCUGUCACUUAUAGAUGGAUCCGCGCCGCAUUAGCUAGUUGGUAAGGUAACGGCUUACCAAGGCAACGAUGCAUAGCCGACCUGAGAGGGUGAUCGGCCACACUGGAACUGAGACACGGUCCAGACUCCUACGGGAGUCAGCAGUAGGGAAUCUUCCGCAAUGGGCGAAAGCCUGACGGAGCAACGCCGCGUGAGUGAUGAAGGUCUUCGGAUCGUAAAACUCUGUUAUUAGGGAAGAACAUAUGUGUAAGUAACUGUGCACAUCUUGACGGUACCUAAUCAGAAAGCCACGGCUAACUACGUG